Molecule: ribosomal RNA, 253 nt
Filed under: uncultured bacterium
Lineage: Bacteria
Description: partial 16S ribosomal RNA
Rfam family: Bacterial small subunit ribosomal RNA
Source: RNAcentral
UACAGAGGAUGCAAGCGUUGUUCGGAAUUACUGGGCGUAAAGGGCGUGUAGGCGGCCAACUAAGUCCGACGUGAAAUCCCCAGGCUUAACCUGGGAACUGCGUCGGAUACUGGAUGGCUUGAAUCCGGGAGAGGGAUGCAGAAUUCCUGGUGUAGCGGUGAAAUGCGCAGAUAUCAGGAGGAACACCAGUGGCGAAGGCGGUUCUCUGGGCAUUACCUGACGCUGAGGAGCGAAAGUGUGGGGAGCGAACAGG